RNAcentral lists this ribosomal RNA (399 nucleotides) under Klebsiella pneumoniae. RNAcentral's name for it is "partial 23S ribosomal RNA". It matches the Rfam family "Bacterial large subunit ribosomal RNA", at positions 104 to 543 of the family's 2925-position model. Lineage: Bacteria; Pseudomonadati; Pseudomonadota; Gammaproteobacteria; Enterobacterales; Enterobacteriaceae. The record is from RNAcentral.
CCGGCGAUGUCCGAAUGGGGAAACCCAGUGCAAUUCGUUGCACUAUCGUUAACUGAAUACAUAGGUUAACGAGGCGAACCGGGGGAACUGAAACAUCUAAGUACCCCGAGGAAAAGAAAUCAACCGAGAUUCCCCCAGUAGCGGCGAGCGAACGGGGAGCAGCCCAGAGUCUGAAUCAGCUUGUGUGUUAGUGGAACGGUCUGGAAAGUCCGACGGUACAGGGUGAUAGUCCCGUACACCAAAAUGCACAGGCUGUGAACUCGAAGAGUAGGGCGGGACACGUGGUAUCCUGUCUGAAUAUGGGGGGACCAUCCUCCAAGGCUAAAUACUCCUGACUGACCGAUAGUGAACCAGUACCGUGAGGGAAAGGCGAAAAGAACCCCGGCGAGGGGAGUGAAA